RNAcentral lists this transfer RNA (72 nucleotides) under Schistocephalus solidus. It matches the Rfam family "tRNA". From Rfam's summary of the family: Transfer RNA (tRNA) molecules are approximately 80 nucleotides in length. The record is from Rfam by way of RNAcentral. Lineage: Eukaryota; Metazoa; Platyhelminthes; Cestoda; Diphyllobothriidea; Diphyllobothriidae.
GAGCCCCUGGCUCAAUGGUAGAGCAUUCGACCCAAUAACCAAAGGUCAUGGGUUCGAAUCCCAGGUGGUCCA